RNAcentral lists this unclassified non-coding RNA (355 nucleotides) under Hevea brasiliensis (rubber tree). The record is from RNAcentral. Lineage: Eukaryota; Viridiplantae; Streptophyta; Magnoliopsida; Malpighiales; Euphorbiaceae.
GAUAGUCCCCCGAAGAUGGCAGCAACCGGCCCGCUUUCAACUUAAGCUUUGGACAGCUAGGUGAACGCGCAUUAAUUCAGUUCGUGGAGCUAACGCAGCAUUCCCAGUUGGCGCGGCAGCCACAGAGUGAUUUCCGGAACAUAUGUGAUGAUGACAAGGAAGAUCAGCAACGUAAUCAGCCACGGCAUCACGGCCUUGGUCAGAUCGGUAAUGCCCAUCUUCGCAAUGCCCGCGGCAACAUAGAGAUUCAGCCCGACAGGCGGAUGGCAAAGACCAACCUCCAUAUUCGCGUCGAUCAUAAUGCCGAAAUGAACGGGAUCGAUGUUUAGCCGUUGCGAGGCCGGGAACAGGAUCG